CCCUUAGAUGUCCGGGGCCGCACGCGCGCUACACUGAAGGAAUCAGCGUGGCUUUCUCCCUGACCCGAAAGGGUUGGGAAACCCGUUGAAUCUCCUUCGUGAUAGGGAUUGGGGCUUGAAAUUGUUCCCCAUGAACGAGGAAUUCCCAGUAAGCGCGAGUCAUAAGCUCGCGUUGAUUACGUCCCUGCCCUUAGUACACACCGCCCGUCGCUACUACCGAUUGAACGGUUUAGUGAGGGCCUCGGAUUGGUCUCGGCCCGCUCUUUACCGGGCGGCGCCGUUGGUCGAGAAGACGCUCGAACUUGAUCGUUUAGAGGAAGUAAAAGUCGUAACA
Molecule: ribosomal RNA, 334 nt
Filed under: uncultured eukaryote
Lineage: Eukaryota
Description: partial 18S ribosomal RNA
Rfam family: Eukaryotic small subunit ribosomal RNA
Source: RNAcentral